This 59-nucleotide transfer RNA is filed under the name Ictidomys tridecemlineatus (thirteen-lined ground squirrel). RNAcentral describes it as "Spermophilus tridecemlineatus (thirteen-lined ground squirrel) tRNA". It matches the Rfam family "tRNA", at positions 8 to 63 of the family's 71-position model. From Rfam's summary of the family: Transfer RNA (tRNA) molecules are approximately 80 nucleotides in length. Their secondary structure includes four short double-helical elements and three loops (D, anti-codon, and T loops). Lineage: Eukaryota; Metazoa; Chordata; Mammalia; Rodentia; Sciuridae. The record is from Rfam by way of RNAcentral.
UAGCUCAGUUAGUAGAGUGCUUGCCUUACAUGCAGGAGGCCCUGGGUUCUAAUCCCCAG